Molecule: ribosomal RNA, 405 nt
Filed under: Triticum aestivum (bread wheat)
Lineage: Eukaryota; Viridiplantae; Streptophyta; Magnoliopsida; Poales; Poaceae
Description: partial small subunit ribosomal RNA
Source: RNAcentral
AUGCUUGAUGGUACUCUUCCGUGUCAUGUUAAGCUAGCCAAUAGACAUGUGAAAGUUUCGCCCAAUUGUCAUGUCUUCUUGUCUAGACCAGAAGACACAAAUCAUUUGUUGUUUCUAUGCAACAAAGAAAAAGAUGUGCGGAGAAGGCUAGGGAUGUAUGGUAUUAACGACAGAGCUUGUGAAGUAGAUUAUGCGGGUUUGGCAGUUUCGGAAUAUUUACUUCCAUCGCCAAAUCAGGAGUUAUGUAUUAUGAGCAAUCAAAACAUGCAUGAAAUGAUUGCCAUAAUAACUGGUACUUGUGGUGGGAAAAGCGUAAAUUGGUUCACAACGAUACAACAGAUUUUCAUGGGAAUACAUGUUCUUACGACAAUUUUUUUACUGCCUCCUCGCCGAAGGUUUCCAUGA